AGAGUUUGAUCCUGGCUCAGGAUGAACGCUGGCGGCGUGCCUAAUACAUGCAAGUCGAGCGAACGGACGAGAAGCUUGCUUCUCUGAUGUUAGCGGCGGACGGGUGAGUAACACGUGGAUAACCUACCUAUAAGACUGGGAUAACUUCGGGAAACCGGAGCUAAUACCGGAUAAUAUUUUGAACCGCAUGGUUCAAAAGUGAAAGACGGUCUUGCUGUCACUUAUAGAUGGAUCCGCGCUGCAUUAGCUAGUUGGUAAGGUAACGGCUUACCAAGGCAACGAUGCAUAGCCGACCUGAGAGGGUGAUCGGCCACACUGGAACUGAGACACGGUCCAGACUCCUACGGGAGGCAGCAGUAGGGAAUCUUCCGCAAUGGGCGAAAGCCUGACGGAGCAACGCCGCGUGAGUGAUGAAGGCCUUCGGAUCGUAAAACUCUGUUAUUAGGGAAGAACAUAUGUGUAAGUAACUGUGUACAUCUUGACGGUACCUAAUCAGAAAGCCACGGCUAACUACGUGCCAGCAGCCGCGGUAAUACGUAGGUGGCAAGCGUUAUCCGGAAUUAUUGGGCGUAAAGCGCGCGUAGGCGGUUUUUUAAGUCUGAUGUGAAAGCCCACGGCUCAACCGUGGAGGGUCAUUGGAAACUGGAAAACUUGAGUGCAGAAGAGGAAAGUGGAAUUCCAUGUGUAGCGGUGAAAUGCGCAGAGAUAUGGAGGAACACCAGUGGCGAAGGCGACUUUCUGGUCUGUAACUGACGCUGAUGUGCGAAAGCGUGGGGAUCAAACAGGAUUAGAUACCCUGGUAGUCC
Molecule: ribosomal RNA, 806 nt
Filed under: uncultured bacterium
Lineage: Bacteria
Description: bacterial SSU rRNA
Rfam family: Bacterial small subunit ribosomal RNA
Source: RNAcentral